RNAcentral lists this ribosomal RNA (484 nucleotides) under uncultured bacterium. RNAcentral's name for it is "partial 16S ribosomal RNA". It matches the Rfam family "Bacterial small subunit ribosomal RNA", at positions 29 to 507 of the family's 1533-position model. The record is from RNAcentral.
AUUGAACGCUGGCGGCAUGCCUUACACAUGCAAGUCGAACGAAAGCGCGGACUUCGGUCUGGCGGCGCGUGGCGGACGGGCGAGUAAUACAUCGGAACGUACCCUGCCGAGGGGGCUAACUAGACGACAGAUUACCUAAUACCGCAUACGACAUGAGGGUGAACGUGGGGGUCCGCAAGUCCACACGCAGCAGGCGCGCCCGAUGUCAGAUUAGCUAGUUGGUGGGGUAAAGGCCCACCAAGGCGACGAUCAGUAGCAGGUCUGAGAGGACGAUCAGCCACACUGGAACUGAGACACGGCCCAGACUCCUACGGGAGGCAGCAGUGGGGAAUUUUGGACAAUGGGGGAAACCCUGAUCCAGCAAUGCCGCGUGUGUGAAGAAGGCCUUCGGGUUGUAAAGCACUUUUGUCCGGAAAGAAAUCGCGCUGGUGAAUACCUGGCGGGGAUGACGGUACCUGAAGAAUAAGCACCGGCUAACUACGUG